AGAAUGGUGUUGCUGAAAGGAUGAACAGGACCAUCAUGAACAAGGUCAGAUGCAUGUUAAGUGAAUCAGGGUUGGGGAAACAGUUCUGGGCAGAAGCAGCGUCUACUGCCGUGUUCCUCAUCAACAAAAGCCCAAGCUCCUCAAUAGAGUUUGAUAUUCCUGAAGAGAAGUGGACUGGUCAUCCACCAGAUUACAAGAUACUCAAGAAGUUUGGAUCAGUUGCUUAUAUUCAUUCAGAUCAAGGAAAGCUGAAUCCUAGAGCAAAGAAGGGGAUUUUUCUCGGAUAUCCAGAUGGUGUAAAGAGAUUCAAAGUGUGGCUGCUAGAAGACAGGAAAUGUGUAGUCUCUCGAGACAUUGUUUUUCAAGAAAAUCAGAUGUACAAGGAACUGCAGAAGAAUGAUAUGUCUGAGGAAGACAAACAGCUCACUGAAGUAGAAAGGACUCUCAUAGAGCUAAAGAAUUUGUCUGCAGAUGAUGAAAAUCAGAGUGAAGGAGGAGAUAAUUCAAACCAAGAACAAGCGUCAACAACAAGAUCUGCAAGUAAAGACAAACAAGUAGAGGAAACUGAUUCUGAUGAUGAUUGUCUAGAGAACUAUCUACUGGCCAGGGAUAGAAUUCGAAGACAGAUCAGAGCUCCACAGAGAUUCGUUGAGGAAGAUGACAGCCUUGUUGGGUUUGCAUUAACAAUGACAGAAGAUGGAGAAGUUUAUGAACCAGAAACCUAUGAAGAAGCCAUGAGAAGUCCAGAAUGUGAGAAAUGGAAGCAAGCUACCAUAGAAGAAAUGGACUCCAUGAAAAAGAAUGACACAU
This 810-nucleotide small RNA is filed under the name Arabidopsis thaliana (thale cress). Its description in RNAcentral is "ATSL278820". The record is from RNAcentral. Lineage: Eukaryota; Viridiplantae; Streptophyta; Magnoliopsida; Brassicales; Brassicaceae.